GCAUGCGUAGCACACCGGACGGCACUGCAGAAGCAGGCGAGUUCGCGAGUGUAUCGAUUUUACGAUCGUGUCUCUCGCCGCUAGUGCGUCCGUUUCCUUUAGUUUUUAGUGGUCGUGCUCAUAGUACAUGGAUAAAAUCGUGAAUGGGAUUAGUCGCUAGUCUCAUCACUCCGUACAUUUGCUGACUCGCAACACUUUGUCACCCUCGCCAUGACUAAGGAUAGAUUAGCAGCUCUUGUUGCGGCCCAGUCGGACGAUGAUGACGUGGCGGACGAUGUGUCCGUCAAUGUUGGCGGGCCCGAUGAUUUUAUGACCGAGUUUUUCGCGGAAGUGGAGGAAAUCCGCGAAAUGAUAGACAGGAUCCAAACGAACGUGGAGGAUGUGAAGAAAAAGCAUAGUGCCAUUUUGUCGGCACCUCAAACCGACGAAAAGGUUAAAAUGGAAUUGGAGGACCUGAUGUCAGACAUCAAGAAAACGGCGAAUAAAGUGAGGGCUAAAUUGAAGGUGAUAGAGCAGAAUAUCGAGCAAGAGGAGCACACGAACAAAUCGUCGGCUGAUCUGAGGAUACGGAAGACACAACACUCGACGCUUUCGAGGAAGUUCGUCGAGGUGAUGACGGAGUACAAUCGGACCCAGACCGAUUACAGAGAGCGGUGUAAGGGGAGGAUACAACGACAGUUGGAAAUCACCGGUAGGACGACCACUAACGAGGAGCUGGAGGAAAUGCUGGAACAGGGGAAUCCGGCCGUGUUCACGCAGGGGAUUAUCAUGGAAACGCAACAAGCGAAACAGACCCUCGCCGAUAUCGAGGCACGCCACGCCGACAUCAUUAAACUAGAAAACUCCAUCAGGGAGCUUCACGAUAUGUUCAUGGACAUGGCGAUGUUGGUUGAAAGUCAGGGUGAGUUGGUGGACCGCAUCGAGUACCUCGUCGAUCAAACCGGCGACCACGUUAUCCAGGCCCGGGGAGAGCUGAUCAAGGCCGAGGAGUAUCGGAGCAAAGCUCGUAAGGACGAGGCACGAAACUGCGAUUGUUGAGAAUUGGGAGGCCAGUUGCAGGCGACACGCAGAGAGGCACGCGAAUAUAGCUGCGAGAUUCGAUCGAAGGAUCGAAUGUGACGAUGAUGUGUAAUGGAAGAAGUGGGUGACGCGUAGCAUGUACACACACACACCACCGAGGAAAGUGUCCAAGUAGAGUUACAGUUCACGGUAGGAAUGUUACCGGCACGUAUGCGUACCUUGCCUUGUAUAAUCGAUCAUUGUGUGUUUUUGCCGAGCGCAGAAGAAGAUCAUGAUCAUGAUCUGCCUUGCUAUACUCGCCGUCGUUCUGACCACCACCAUCGCUGGAUACUUUGGACUGUGAACGCCGUACUCAGUUAAGUCGAAAAGAGUUGGCGAAUUCGCGUACGAAAACGCGAAACGCCGGCAACGCGUGAAUUCGAAGAAAUCGGCCCGAAACAACGUUGGACGCAUCGCCCAUUUCAAGUGGAAUAGUGUUCGUCGACCACGACUGCAUCCGCAAUCGCAAUCGCAGCCGCAACAACAACCGCCAAUAGCAACAACGGCAAUUCGACCGCGAUCCCAUUCGCGAUCUUAUCGUCCGAUCUUUUGUCCGCGCGUGCCGCUCCUCGUCCCAUGGAUCGUCGUUCAAUUCCGCCUUCCGUUAUGCUUGCGCGUUCACCGAUACGUGUUUUACGCGUCGACUAUCGUAAACAAGAGGCAAACGAGAAUAGAAAUAGAAGUAUUUGAGAAAAUUAGUGAAAAUGAUACGAGAAUGAAAGUGAGUAAAACGAUAGCUGGUAGAACGAAGAAUCGUCAUCGUCGUCCUCGUCGUCGUCGUCGUCGUCGUCGUCAUCGUCAUCGUCGUUUGUUUGCAUUAUUGUCGUCGCUUGUAGUUUACGCGCCUUCGUUUACUAGUCUUUCCUCGUUUUUCUUUCGUUCACUCGAUACGCGAAUAAUUUCAUCGCUUCGUUUCACGCGAGCUGUAAAUCCUUUAUUUUCCAUCGAUUUUCUUCACACUCUUUUACUUUUUUACUUUUAUUCUAUAAAACACGAUCAUAAAACACAGAAAAGGAUAAAAGACACGGACGAUAGCGACGAAGCGAGGAAAAUUAUCAUUGCGUGGAUCGUAGACGAUUACCAUCGUCGAUCUCUCCGGGAUUAUCAUCGACGAGCAGCCGGGAGUGCGAUGGAAGAAUAACACGGGUUGGACGAUGGACAAAUGUCGAGCGUACUUACCUUUGUCCGGGACUAUCGGGCCUAGAAAGCGAAGAAAAAAAAAAAAGACGGUAUUCGUGGGCGGCUGUCUACGAUUAGGUCGUAUCGAUGUAUCUCGUUUCAAAGCCAAGCCUAAAACCUAAUGGAGUUUUUCUGUAACGCGAGGCACAUCGUGCGAGGCUACCGUGCAAUCCUCUCGUUUUCUCAGACGCCAUUUUCGGCGUUAUGCGCAGGCUCUGGUAGCCGUGUCCAAUUAUACCGACUACCUACCGAAGUGCAUUCUUUUGACUGUGAUUUUUAACCGAGCUUGGAAAUUAGCCUUUUGCGAAUCUUUCGAACGCGUUCGUAAUAUGGUCGGGCAUGUAUACGAUCGUACGAGUCGAAACACGCAUGCAAAGUGUUUUCUUUUCUUCGCUUCUUCCGAGAUCACCGCUACUGGUCGAGAAUCGAACGAUAGGCUGAUUCGAAACGGUAGGGUAUAUCGAUGGUCGGUAAAGAAGAGAAAACUGGAACGCGCAAAGGGCAAAUUUGCAAGUGCGUCGUAACGUUGGAAUAGCUUUCGUUCGACGGAAUAUACAUUUAGGUAGUUUGUUUCUCGCUUUCGACGUUGUGUCAGAAAUCGAUCGGUCGAUAAAAAUUUAUCGAAAACGAUGACGAAUCGUACAGCGAAGCACUAUCGUCUUCGUGUUGCACGAAAUGCCAUUAGGGUAUUGGGUUCGAUCGACCGAUCGGCGUCACUGCUUUUUUGCAUCCUCUUCGAUAUAUCGUUGUAUUUAUUUCUAUCCAAAUACGCGGCCGCGAUCUUGCGCGCAUGAUCUUCUUUCGUCCUUUUUCUCUCGGUUCAGCUCACGUUGUCGUAUUGUAGUCGUAUCGAAUACCGCUACUCAAUCGGUCAAUUACCGACGAUCGAACGGACAAUAACGACGAGACUGUGACCAAUGACCGACAUACGUAACGACGACAAUGACAAUGGAAAUUAAAGUAAUCCGGUCGCUUUAUAUAAAUCGAAAUAUUUUUCUCGUUUCUUCCAUAUUCUUCGUUUUGUUUUUUAUCAUUAUUAUACAUAUAUAUAUAUAUAUAAAUAUAUCUCGUUUAUCGUUGUGCGUAAAAAAAAAAAAAAAACAUUUUCGCAAAAAGCGUGCGUCGUGUUAAAGAGGGUCGAUCAUCGGCGCGGAGAACAAGAUGCCGGAUGAUGGGAAGGAGGGAAAUGGAUUUUCGCAAAAAAAAGAAAAAAAGGAAAAAAGUAAAAAAAAAGAGGAAAAAAAAAAAAGAAAAAAAACGAGGAACACGCGACGAGGAGAGAAGAGGAGAUCUAUAAAGCUGCAGCAAUAAUAAGAUAUAGAUGUUACGGGAAAUUAAUUAACGCUAAUACAAUCGUCGACGAUAAAAUCUGGAUCAUUCCGAUAUAUCGUAUCUACACAAAGUGUAUACAUAUUUAUUGCUAUAUGUGUAUAUAUAUGUAUAUAUACACACACAGACAUACCCGUACGUAUAUAUACACACAAACACAGAGAGAUACACAGUCACGACACGAGCGCGAAUGCGCGAAACGGGAGCACAUACAUACAUACAUACACACACGCAUAUAUAUAUAUACAUACACGUACACGUACACACACAUUAUUACAUACAACGCCCAAACGCGUUACGAAAAAAAAAAAAUAAAAAAAACAUAUUACAUGUAUAUAUAAAAUAGUUAGUCGGCACAGUCGAAAAGAGUAAUAUAUUAACGAUGAUAAUUUAUUAUUCGCGACGCCUGUUGCUCGUGUAAACUAUCGUCUGAUAAUUGCUUUUCGAGCAAGAAACGGGCGACGUUCGUGUUAACGUUUUGUUGAUUAUAUUAUAUGAACGUUGAGGUAAAUGCGUUUAAAAGAUUAUGGAUUGAUGUUUCAAGAAAAUGAUAUAAGAGAGAAUGGGGGGAAAAGAAGGAGUAAACAGGAGUUUACGUUACGUAGCAUAACGUGUUGUAACGGCAACGUUGAGCACGGUAAUGCGAUAAAGGCGACGAUACGAUAACGAUAAAAGCGUGAUUAUAAUAAUAAUCGGGGAAUUAGAGAAACGAACAACACGAUGAUCGCGAUGAUCGCUUUGCGAUCGUAUUACAUAAGCAUAUCGAUCGUUGGUUUAGAGAUUAUCGUUUGAAUACGAUUAGAAAAAAAAAAAAAAAAAAAUUCCUUUUCAACAAGAAAUUGAUUCGAGAAGUCUCGUUUUGAUCGAUAUCUCGUCCUCGCCAUCAUCGUCGUCGUCGUCGUCAUCGUCAUAAUAGGUAAAGGAAGAAACAAGGAGGAGGAGGAGUAAGAUCGGAAGAAAAGAGCUUUCGUUCGUUUUCGUAUCCUGCGUCGAUCGAAGAAGAAGGAAGAACGCAAGAAUCAGACACAUACAUAGACACGGCACACAUAGACACGAUACACGACACACAUAGACACGACACACGAGACACGAUACUAACACAGAAAGAAAGAAUCAUUAUCGCUUUACGACUUGCUUUACAUCUCAAAGUUUGUCCCUUCUUGGUCGAUUUGGAAUUUAUUUAGCGAUCGUUCGAAUUCGAUUCGAGAAAAAGAAAAAAAGAUUGUGCGAUUCAUUCGAUUGGACACCCUCCUCCGAACAAUGUUGAUUGUUUCGCAUUUCGAAAAUUUAGAAGAAGAAGAAGAAAAAUCGAUUCGCGUGCACCGAGUGGUGGUCAUCGCUCGAUCGACGAAUACGAUUGGUUCGAUCGAUCGAACAGUCAAUUCUCUGUCUCGGUGUCGGUUACGAUGUAAAGGAGACAGGAGUUAAAUCGGCCUUAAAUACGAUUGGUCGCAUAGAUACCAAACCCCCUCCACUCCCUUUCCCCCUCCCCCGUCCCCGCACCGAGACGCGAGAUCGUCGCGAACUGUCCCUUCAGCGCGCAUCACUUUUUUAAAAUACACCUUUUCAUCAUCCUCCUCCUCUCCGGAAAGGAAAGUAAUCGUCGUCCCUUUUCGUUCUUCGUCCGUUUUUAGCUUUAAACCCCGUUGACUUGUGUCGUUAGCAUUUUUCUCCGAUGCGUGCGCGUUCGUGUGUAGCGAUAUACUCGCGAUUAGGAAUUGAAGAAUCAAAUUACAAUACUUACUUUCGAACAAGUACCAUCGAAUAAGUUUUCCGGGCCACGAUAUUAGAAUUAUAUACCUUAUAUAAACUUGCAACAAACAGUGCACGUAUCACCGAUCAUCUCGUUGGUAUAUGCAUAUACGUAUAGUGUGUAUGUUUUGGCCUAAAAAAAAGAGUAAGAGAAAGAGGAUUUUUCUCUUUCGUUCACGUGUUAUACAUUACACCUGGUGACUUUGUUAAUUUUUCGUUUUGUUUACGAAAGUAAGGUUCCACUUGGAGAAUAACGCGCGGAAUAUAACAUUUUAUCUUAUCUUAAUUCGCGCAGCGUUGCUGUCCGUCUGUCAGUCUGUCUUUCUUUCUUUCUUUUUUUCUUUCUUUCUUUCUCUUCUCGCGUCUCUUUUUUCUCUCCUUACUUUACUCGUUUAUAUUUACUUCUUCUACGAAACGAACGAACGAACGGACGAACGUUGUUUGUUUAUUUUAGAAAAAUUUAGGAAACGCGCGAUGUGAACGAACGAAAGGGAAGACCGACAGAUGGGCUAAAAAAUGUGAAUCGAUCACAGGGAGUAAAGUACGACGAAGAAAUUGGGGAAUUGUGAGAAAAAGAAAACGGAUGGAACGCUUUAGAGACUUCGAACACGACAAAGUAUCGAGAAUGUACUUACUUAUUGGUCGUGUCGCAUCGGUGCAAUUAUUACUCUUCGAGAGACUAUUUCAAUAACCUUAUGAGUGUCAAUUCCACUUUCGAGCGUAAAUCGUGUAAGUUUGCGAAUGUUUUCAGAACAAACGAACAAAAAUAAAGAGCGAUCGUGAUGGGGUGUCGGUGUUAAAUCAUAACGAUAAGAGAGGUUGCGUGGCCAUGUCUCUUGACAACUACGCGCCAAAGUGAGAUUAUUAUAAUAAAUUUACAUUAUUGAGAAAUUAAUUAGGGAAUGAGAGUGUGGGAGAGAAAGGAAUAGAAAGUACGUACGAGCGAGCGAAUGAACGAACGAACGAACGAACGAGCGACCGAGUGAGCGAGCGAGCGAGCGAGCGAAAAAAGUGCGAGAGCAAGAAAACAAACAAAAAAACCAAGGAUGAAAGGACAAGCUUAGGAAGAGAAUGCGCGAUCGAACGAAUGCGCGAACGAACGAACGAUGGGGAGAAAGUUUUGAACGAAAGAGUAUUAUUUAUUUACGUGUGCGUGCAUGCGAGAGAGAAACCGAUUUACGAAAGAGAUAAAAAAAAUUUGAAGAAUUUAGCACGUUGAACAAUGAUAAAUGGAAAAUACUUUUUAUCGUAGAUACACUUCUAUUAGGUGAAAGAAACUCUACGUAAGAACAAAGAAAAGGCAAAAAAAUAGAAAAAGAAAAAGUAAAAAAGAGACCUGUACUAAGGAUUACUUAUUAAAUAAAUGAACGGUGUUUUUCCGCCUAUGAGUCGUAUUUGCAUCAGAUGAAUAUACAGAUGCAUCUCACUUCUCACACACUCUCUCUCUCUCUCUCUCUCUCUCUCUCUACCUUUCUCUUUCUCUCUCAGUUAUACAGAGAACAGAACGAGAUAGAUUGUUAUUUUCCAUCUUUAAUGCGAUAUUAUUGUUAUUAUUAUUAUUAUUAUCAACACUGUACAAAGUUGGCAAUAAUUAUUAAGAAAUCCAUCGUCGUAACGCGUUUAUUAGCUGUGUUUUGAAGAAAGAAAGAAACGCAUGACGAGAUCCACACUCGUCAUUCAAGACAGAAGAGAAGAAAAUUCGUUGCAACUACAGCGUAUAAAAAAAAAAAAAAUAAUAAAUAAAUAAAUAAAGCGUGCCCUUUUACCUAAUCUAAUCCUGCACAAAAAUAUCGAUCGUUCUGAAUAUAUCUAUAUAGAGCAUCCUUACGCGACGAAAAAAGAUAAAAAAAAAAAAAGAAAUAAAUAGAUCCGGGUUUGGGAUAUAUAAGAAGUAAACGUAAAUUUCGAAGAGAAAAAAAAAGGGCAUGUUAUGUCUGGUUAAUAAUAAUAAUAAACGACGAGAGUCGGAUCGCGUCCGUGGAUGUUCGGUCGUCGAAUAACAGGAGCAGGAAAUCGGUGAAUCGAUAGAUUUUCCGUAUUCUCUCUGAACGCGAUAAGCGAUAUUGAACCGCGAACUCACGUUUGGAAUCUUGUCGCUGCCUCUACUCUCACCGAUUCGCCGAUUUUCUUCUCGCGUUGUAGUAGUAGCUACUUUCUUCUAGCGAUCUAUUAUUGAUCUGUCUGAAGCGAUAACGAAGACAAAAAAGAAAAAAAGAAAGAAAAAAAGAAAAAAAGAGCCAAGCGUUUACUGUACAAUUAUAUUCUUUUACGUUUAACGAAAUUACCAUUGAGUAGACGAGUAGUAUAUUUUACAUUAUCGAGAUACGAUAGCGUUACCCCGUCUUACCCUAAUUUUAUAUAUCAUUGAAGAUAACGUAACCGCAGGAAUAAUGAUUAUAGUCAGCACUACAGUGAAGUUACUAUACGUCUGUAGAUACAACAAUGGUCCGCAGAGAUUUUAAAAACCGACACGAUGUUCAAUGUAUUUAACUAAUUGAUCUUCUCUCUCGAAAGAUGAACAAUAUACAAGAAUAUGUAACGGGA
RNA transcript from Apis mellifera (honey bee), 7863 nucleotides. It is a transcript of the gene named syntaxin 1A, with no coding region annotated. The transcript is spliced from 10 exons. The record is from RefSeq and is marked validated. NCBI's taxonomy places the organism in Eukaryota, Metazoa, Arthropoda, Insecta, Hymenoptera, Apidae.